RNAcentral lists this ribosomal RNA (489 nucleotides) under uncultured Glomeraceae. Its description in RNAcentral is "SSU rRNA". It matches the Rfam family "Eukaryotic small subunit ribosomal RNA", at positions 609 to 1098 of the family's 1831-position model. The record is from RNAcentral. Lineage: Eukaryota; Fungi; Glomeromycota; Glomeromycetes; Glomerales; Glomeraceae.
GUUGUUGCAGUUAAAAAGCUCGUAGUUGAAUUUCGGGAUCAAUGUUUCGGUCAUGCCGUUGGUAUGUACUGAUAUUAUUGAUUUCUCACCUUCUAAAGAACCGUAAUGCCAUUAAUUUGGUGUCACGGGGAAUUAGGACUGUUACCUUGAAAAAAUUAGAGUGUUUAAAGCAGGCUCACGCUUGAAUACAUUAGCAUGGAAUAAUGAAAUAGGACAUCCGAUUCUAUUUUGUUGGUUUCUAGGAUCGAUGUAAUGAUUAAUGGGGAUAGUUGGGGGCAUUAGUAUUCAAUUGUCAGAGGUGAAAUUCCUGGAUUUAUUGAAGACUAACUACUGCGAAAGCAUUUGCCAAGGAUGUUUUCAUUAAUCAAGAACGAAAGUUAGGGGAUCGAAGACGAUCAGAUACCGUCGUAGUCUUAACCAUAAACUAUGCCGACUAGGGAUCGGAUGAUGUUAAUUUUUUAAUGACUCAUUCGGCGCCUUACGGGAAAC